This 776-nucleotide ribosomal RNA is filed under the name Actinomycetales bacterium TLI240. RNAcentral describes it as "bacterial SSU rRNA". It matches the Rfam family "Bacterial small subunit ribosomal RNA", at positions 147 to 935 of the family's 1533-position model. Lineage: Bacteria; Bacillati; Actinomycetota; Actinomycetes; Actinomycetales. The record is from RNAcentral.
GCCCUGGAAACGGGGUCUAAUACCGGAUACGAGCCUCCUGGGCAUCUGGGAGGUUGGAAAGCUCCGGCGGUGCAGGAUGAGCCCGCGGCCUAUCAGCUUGUUGGUGAGGUAACGGCUCACCAAGGCGACGACGGGUAGCCGGCCUGAGAGGGCGACCGGCCACACUGGGACUGAGACACGGCCCANACUCCUACGGGAGGCAGCAGUGGGGAAUAUUGCACAAUGGGCGAAAGCCUGAUGCAGCGACGCCGCGUGAGGGAUGACGGCCUUCGGGUUGUAAACCUCUUUCAGCAGGGAAGAAGCGAGAGUGACGGUACCUGCARAAGAAGCGCCGGCUAACUACGUGCCAGCAGCCGCGGUAAUACGUAGGGCGCAAGCGUUGUCCGGAAUUAUUGGGCGUAAAGAGCUCGUAGGCGGCUUGUCGCGUCGAUUGUGAAAGCCCGGGGCUUAACUCCGGGUCUGCAGUCGAUACGGGCAGGCUAGAGUGUGGUAGGGGAGAUCGGAAUUCCUGGUGUAGCGGUGAAAUGCGCAGAUAUCAGGAGGAACACCGGUGGCGAAGGCGGAUCUCUGGGCCAUUACUGACGCUGAGGAGCGAAAGCGUGGGGAGCGAACAGGAUUAGAUACCCUGGUAGUCCACGCCGUAAACGGUGGGCACUAGGUGUUGGCGACAUUCCACGUCGUCGGUGCCGCAGCUAACGCAUUAAGUGCCCCGCCUGGGGAGUACGGCCGCAAGGCUAAAACUCAAAGGAAUUGACGGGGGCCCGCACAAGCGGCGG